AACGCGAAGAACCUUACCUGGGCUCGAAAUGCAGUGGACCGGGGUAGAAAUAUCCCUUCCCCUUAAAAGGCUGCUGCAUAGGUGCUGCAUGGCUGUCGUCAGCUCGUGUCGUGAGAUGUUGGGUUAAGUCCCGCAACGAGCGCAACCCUUAUCCCUAGUUGCCAUCGGGUCAAGCCGGGCACUCUAGUGAAACUGCCUGGGAUAACCAGGAGGAAGGUGGGGAUGACGUCAAGUCCUCAUGGCCUUUAUGUCCAGGGCUACACACGUGCUACAAUGGUCGGUACAAACCGUCGCAAACCCGUGAGGGGGAGCUAAUCGGAAAAAGCCGACCUCAGUUCGGAUUGGAGUCUGCAACUCGACUCCAUGAAGCUGGAAUCGCUAGUAAUCGCGGAUCAGAACGCCGCGGUGAAUACGUUCCCGGGCCUUGUA
This 429-nucleotide ribosomal RNA is filed under the name uncultured Acidobacterium sp. Its description in RNAcentral is "bacterial SSU rRNA". It matches the Rfam family "Bacterial small subunit ribosomal RNA", at positions 958 to 1385 of the family's 1533-position model. Lineage: Bacteria; Pseudomonadati; Acidobacteriota; Terriglobia; Terriglobales; Acidobacteriaceae. The record is from RNAcentral.